Molecule: long non-coding RNA, 1770 nt
Organism: Acanthochromis polyacanthus (spiny chromis)
Lineage: Eukaryota; Metazoa; Chordata; Actinopteri; Pomacentridae
Exons: 10
Source: RefSeq, a predicted model, not a curated record
AUAGUUCCACUAAUCAGGAGGUCUAGAAGGAGUCAUAGUUCCACUAAUCAGGAGAUCUAGAAGGAGUCAUAGUUCCACUAAUCAGGAGGUCUAGAAGGAGUCAUAGUUCCACUAAUCAGGAGGUCUAGAAGGAGUCAUAGUUCCACUAAUCAGGAGGUCUAGAAGGAGUCAUAGUUCCACUAAUCAGGAGGUCUAGAAGGAGUCAUAGUACCACUAAUCAGGAGAUCUAGAAGGAGUCAUAGUACCACUAAUCAGGAGGUCUAGAAGGAGUCACAGUUCCACUAAUCAGGAGGUCUAGAAGGAGUCAUAGUACCACUAAUCAGGAGGUCUAGAAGGAGUCAUAGUUCCACUAAUCAGGAGGUCUAGAAGGAGUCACAGUACCACUAAUCAGGAGGUCUAGAAGGAGUCAUAGUUCCACUAAUCAGGAGGUCUAGAAGGAGUCACAGUACCACUAAUCAGGAGGUCUAGAAGGAGUCAUAGUACCACUAAUCAGGAGGUCUAGAAGGAGUCAUAGUUCCACUAAUCAGGAGGUCUAGAAGGAGUCAUAGUUCCACUAAUCAGGAGGUCUAGAAGGAGUCACAGUUCCACUAAUCAGGAGGUCUAGAAGGAGUCAUAGUUCCACUAAUCAGGAGGUCUAGAAGGAGUCAUAGUACCACUAAUCAGGAGGUCUAGAAGGAGUCAUAGUUCCACUAAUCAGGAGGUCUAGAAGGAGUCAUAGUUCCACUAAUCAGGAGGUCUAGAAGGAGUCAUAGUACCACUAAUCAGGAGGUCUAGAAGGAGUCAUAGUUCCACUAAUCAGGAGGUCUAGAAGGAGUCAUAGUACCACUAAUCAGGAGGUCUAGAAGGAGUCAUAGUUCCACUAAUCAGGAGGUCUAGAAGGAGUCAUAGUUCCACUAAUCAGGAGGUCUAGAAGGAGUCAUAGUACCACUAAUCAGGAGGUCUCGAAGGAGUCAUAGUUCCACUAAUCAGGAGGUCUAGAAGGAGUCAUAGUUCCACUAAUCAGGAGGUCUAGAAGGAGUCACAGUUCCACUGAUCAGGAGGUCUAGAAGGAGUCAUAGUUUCACUAAUCAGGAGGUCUAGAAGGAGUCACAGUUCCACUGAUCAGGAGGUCUAGAAGGAGUCAUAGUUCCACUAAUCAGGAGGUCUAGAAGGAGUCAUAGUUCCACUAAUCAGGAGGUCUAGAAGGAGUCAUAGUUUCACUGAUCAGGAGGUCUAGAAGGAGUCACAGUUCCACUAAUCAGGAGGUCUAGAAGGAGUCAUAGUUCCACUAAUCAGGAGGUCUAGAAGGAGUCAUAGUACCACUAAUCAGGAGGUCUAGAAGGAGUCACAGUUCCACUGAUCAGGAGGUCUAGAAGGAUUCAUAGUUCCACUAAUCAGGAGGUCUAGAAGGAGUCAUAGUUCCACUAAUCAGAGCUCCUAAAAUGACUCCACAGACAGUGAACUACUUUCUCCAUCAGCUGUAAAAACAGACAUCAGCUGCGUCAGACUUGGUUCAGGGGUUCUCCAUGGAAACCAGAGUUAGUGUGAAGCUCAGACAGUGUGAAGGAACCUUCAGAACAUCAACCUCUAUGGACAGAGAAUCAGAACUAAACCUUGCUGCUGCUCAGAACUAAACUUCCAGAUGAAGAACAUGAGACGAAGCCUGAUGGAUGCUGGAGAACAUGCUUUGGUCAGAUGAAGAUCAAUGAGUUGGGCUCAGAUGGAGUCCAGAUGUUUGGUGAGAACCUGACCAGGACUACCACAGUGGAUGGAUGGUCCUGACAGUGAAGC